This is a long non-coding RNA of Malus domestica (apple), 278 nucleotides long. RefSeq lists it as uncharacterized. Lineage: Eukaryota; Viridiplantae; Streptophyta; Magnoliopsida; Rosales; Rosaceae. The record is from RefSeq and is a predicted model, not a curated record.
GCCUGAGUACAGUUUAUGGUGGGACUUAUAUGUUGAAUAAGCCUGAGUGCAAGGUAGAGUUCAACGAGGAAGGGAAAGUUAUCGGUGUCACAUCUGAAGGGGAAACUGCUAAGUGCAAAAAAGUUGUAUGUGAUCCUUCUUACUUGCCUAACAAGGUUAGGAAGGUUGGUAAGGUUGCAAGAGUUAUUGCCAUCAUGAGCCACCCAAUUCCAAACACCAAUGAAUCUCACUCAGUGUAGGUUAUCCUGCCACAGAAGCAGUUGGGUUGCAGAUCAGAU